Molecule: microRNA precursor, 93 nt
Filed under: Dipodomys ordii (Ord's kangaroo rat)
Lineage: Eukaryota; Metazoa; Chordata; Mammalia; Rodentia; Heteromyidae
Also listed under: 1 other name
Description: mir-217 microRNA precursor family
Rfam family: mir-217 microRNA precursor family
Source: Rfam by way of RNAcentral
CAGUUUUUGAUGUCGCAGAUACUGCAUCAGGAACUGAUUGGAUAAGAAUCGGUCACCAUCAGUUCCUAAUGCAUUGCCUUCAGCAUCUAAACA